This 259-nucleotide unclassified non-coding RNA is filed under the name Basidiomycota sp. RNAcentral describes it as "partial contains small subunit ribosomal RNA, internal transcribed spacer 1, and 5.8S ribosomal RNA". The stretch from base 1 to 47 matches the Rfam family "Eukaryotic small subunit ribosomal RNA", at positions 1785 to 1831 of the family's 1831-position model. The record is from RNAcentral. Lineage: Eukaryota; Fungi; Basidiomycota.
AAAGUCGUAACAAGGUUUCCGUAGGUGAACCUGCGGAAGGAUCAUUAUUGAUUUUCAAGGGAUGUUGCUGGCUCCUCCGGGGGCAUGUGCACUCCUAACUAAAACCAAUAUCCACCUGUGCACCCUCAGUAGGCAAGAGAAGGCCUAGCAAGGCCCUUUUUUUGUCUAUGUUUCCAUCACAAACGCUUGAUCUAUUUGAAUGCUAACACAACAAAUAAUAUUUGUAACACAACUUUCAACAAUGGAUCUCUUGGUUCUC